GAUCAUUAUUGAAAUAAACCUGAUGAGUUGCUGCUGGUUCUCUAGGGAGCAUGUGCACACUUGUCAUCUUUAUAUCUCCACCUGUGCACCUUUUGUAGACCUGGAUAGCUCUCUGAAUGCUAGCUAGCCUAGCAUUCAGGUUUGAGGAUUGACUUUCUUGGUCUCUCCUUACAUUUCCAGGCCUAUGUUUCUUCAUAUACUCCAUCUAUGUUAUAGAAUGUAAUAAAUGGGCCUUUGUGCCUAUAAAGCUAUACAACUUUCAGCAACGGAUCUCUUGGCUCUCGCAUCGAUGAAGAACGCAGCGAAAUGCGAUAAGUAAUGUGAAUUGCAGAAUUCAGUGAAUCAUCGAAUCUUUGAACGCACCUUGCGCUCCUUGGUAUUCCUAGGAGCAUGCCUGUUUGAGUGUCAUUAAUAUAUCAACCUCUUCAGCUUUCUGGUUGUUGAGUGUUGGAUGUGGGGGUCUUUCUUUGCUGGCCUCUUUUCUGAGGUCAGCUCCCCUGAAAUGCAUUAGCGGAACAAUCUGUUGACUGUUCAUUGGUGUGAUAACUAUCUACGCUAUUGACGGUGAAGCAAGUUCAGCUUCUAACGGUCCAUUGACUUGGACAACUUUUCAUUAAUGUGACCUCAAAUCAGGUAGGACU
RNAcentral lists this ribosomal RNA (641 nucleotides) under Thaxterogaster sp. MEL 2326854. Its description in RNAcentral is "eukaryotic LSU rRNA". The stretch from base 255 to 408 matches the Rfam family "5.8S ribosomal RNA". The record is from RNAcentral. Lineage: Eukaryota; Fungi; Basidiomycota; Agaricomycetes; Agaricales; Cortinariaceae.